UGAGUACGAGAUGCUACGGCAUCGAAGCAGUCUAUGUCAUACUUCCAAGAAAAGCUUGCAAUGUCAUAAACAAAUAAUGCCUGUACCAUAACCGACACAGGUGGGUAGGUAGAGUAUACUAAGGGGCGCGAGAUAACUCUCUCUAAGGAACUCGGCAAAAUGACUCCGUAACUUCGGGAGAAGGAGUGCCUUAUUUUUAUAAGGUUGCAAUAACAAGAUCCAAGCAACUGUUUACCAAAAACACAGGUCUCCGCUAAGUCGUAAGACGAUGUAUGGGGGCUGACGCCUGCCCAGUGCCAGAAGGCUAAAGAAGCUGGUUAGCAUUAGCGAAGCUGAUAACUGAAGCCCUGGUGAACGGCGACCGUAACAAUAACGGUCCUAAGGUAGCGAAAUUCCUUGUCGGGUAAGUUCCGACCCGCACGAAAGGCGUAAUGAUUUGGAUACUGUCUCGGAGAGGGGCUCGGUGAAAUAGACUUGUCUGUGAAGAUGCGGACUACCUGCACCUGGACAGAAAGACCCUAUGAAGCUUUACUGUAACUUGAGAUUGAAAUUGGACUUUAUCUGCGCAGUAUAGGUGGGAGACGUUGAAAAUAUUCUUGCGGGAAUAUUGGAGUCAUCAGUGAGAUACCACUCUUAUAAUGUUAGAUUUCUAACUUUGUAUCAUUAUCUGGUCAAAGAACAGUUUCAGGCGGGCAGUUUGACUGGGGCGGUCGCCUCCCAAACGGUAACGGAGGCGCACAAAGGUUUCCUCUGAACGUGUAGAAAUCGUAUCUAGAGUGUAAAGGCAUAAGGAAGCUUGACUGUGAGACCUACAAGUCGAGCAGGGACGAAAGUCGGUCUUAGUGAUCUGACGGUGCUGAGUGGAAAGGCCGUCACUCAACGGAUAAAAGUUACUCUAGGAUAACAGGCUGAUCUCCCCCAAGAGUUCACAUCGACGGGGAGGUUUGGCACCUUGAUGUCGGCUCAUCGCAUCCUGGGGCGGUAGUACGUCCCAAGGGUUGGGCUGUUCGCCCAUGAAAGCGGUACGCGAGCUGGGUUCAGAACGUCGUGAGACAGUUCGGUCCAUAUCCGGUGUAGGCGUUAGAAUAUUGAGAGGAGCCUUCUUUAGUACGAGAGGACCGAGAAGGACAUACCUCUGGUGUACCAGUUAUCGUGCCAACGGUAAACGCUGGGUAGCCAUGUAUGGAGAGGAUAACCGCUGAAAGCAUCUAAGUGGGAAGCCCACCUCAAGAUAAG
This 1236-nucleotide ribosomal RNA is filed under the name metagenome. Its description in RNAcentral is "bacterial LSU rRNA". It matches the Rfam family "Bacterial large subunit ribosomal RNA", at positions 1564 to 2808 of the family's 2925-position model. The record is from RNAcentral.